Molecule: ribosomal RNA, 1467 nt
Filed under: uncultured archaeon
Lineage: Archaea
Description: bacterial SSU rRNA
Rfam family: Archaeal small subunit ribosomal RNA
Source: RNAcentral
ACCCGACUGCUAUUUGGGUGAGGAUAAGCCAUGCGAGUUGGAUGGGAUACCUAAACUUCCCAUAGCAAACUGCUUAGUAACACAUGAUCAACUUGCCCUAUGGAGAAAAAUAACCUCGGGAAACUGAGGAUAAUGUUUCAUAGUUGAAUAGGCUUGGAAAAGUUUUUCGAUGAAAGGAAUAAGAUAAAUGGUUCUUAUUUGCCAUAGGAUAGGAUCGUGGUCGAUUAUGGUAGUUGGUGAGAUAACGGCUCACCAAGCCGAUAAUCGAUAGGGGCCGUGAGAACGGGAGCCCCAAGAUGGGUACUGAGACAGCGACCCAGGCCUUACGAGGCGCAGCAGGCGCGAGACCUCCGCAAUACACGAAAGUGUGACGGGGUUACCCAGAGGGGGUGGGGGGGGAACUGUGGUAGGUGAGUAAUGUCCCCUACUAGAAAGGAGAGGGCAAGGCUGGUGCCAGCCGCCGCGGUAAAACCAGCUCUUCAAGUGGUCGGGAUAAUUAUUGGGCUUAAAGUGUCCGUAGCCGGUUUAGUAAGUUCCUGGUAAAAUCGGGUAGCUUAACUAUCUGCAUGCUAGGAAUACUGCUAUACUAGAGGGCGGGAGAGGUCUGAGGUACUACAGGGGUAGGGGUGAAAUCUUAUAAUCCUUGUAGGACCACCAGUGGCGAACGCGUCAGACUGGAACGCGCCUGACNGUGAGGGACGAAAGCCAGGGGAGCGAACCGGAUUAGAUACGUCGGUGCUAGAAUAAUAAAAUAACUANCACCAUGCUNAAAACCCGGGUAGUCCUGGCCGUAANCGAUGCAUACUAGGUGAUGGUACGGCCAUGAGCCGUAUCAGUGCCGUAGGGAAACCGUUAAGUGUGCCGCCUGGGAAGUACGGUCGCAAGGCUAAAACUUAAAGGAAUUGGCGGGGGAGCACCACAAGGGGUGAAGCCUGCGGUUCAAUUGGACUCAACGCCGGGAAACUUACCAGGGGAGACAGUAGAAUGAGGGUCAGGUUGACGACCUUACCUGAUGAGCUGAGAGGAGGUGCAUGGCCGUCGCCAGUUCGUGCCGUGAGGUAUCCUGUUAAGUCAGGCAACGAACGAGAUCCGCGCCUUUAUUUGCCAACAAGAAGUUACGACUUCGUUGGGAACACUAAAGGGACCGCCGUCGAUAAGACGGAGGAAGGAGCGGGCAAAGGCAGGUCAGUAUGCCCCGAAACCCCUGGGCUACACGCGGGCUGCAAUGGUAUGAACAAUGGGCUGUAACUCCGAAAGGAGAACCCAACCCCGAAAUCAUAUCACAGUGGGGAUUGUUGGCUGUAACCCGCCGACAUGAACGUGGAAUCCCUAGUAAUCGUGUGUCAUCAUCGCACGGUGAAUACGUCUCUGCUCCUUGCACACACCGCCCGUCGCUCCAUCCGAGUGUACUAAAAAUGAGGUUUGGUCAGACUGGUCAUAUCGAGUUUCUAGUAUGCGAGGAGGGAG